RNAcentral lists this ribosomal RNA (367 nucleotides) under uncultured bacterium. RNAcentral's name for it is "bacterial SSU rRNA". It matches the Rfam family "Bacterial small subunit ribosomal RNA", at positions 29 to 410 of the family's 1533-position model. The record is from RNAcentral.
AACGAACGCUGGCGGCAGGCCUAACACAUGCAAGUCGAACGCCGUAGCAAUACGGAGUGGCAGACGGGUGAGUAACGCGUGGGAACAUACCCUCCGGUUCGGAAUAACUCAGGGAAACUUGAGCUAAUACCGGAUACGUCCAAGGUUUUAAUCGGCCUCGGAGAAAGAUUUAUCGCUGGAGGAUUGGCCGCGUCUGAUUAGCUUGUUGGUGAGGUAAUGGCUCACCAAGGCGACGAUCAGUAGCUGGUCUGAGAGGAUGAUCAGCCACAUUGGGACUGAGACACGGCCCAAACUCCUACGGGAGGCAGCAGUGGGGAAUAUUGGACAAUGGGCGAAAGCCUGAUCCAGCGAUGCCGCGUGUGUGAAG